Non-coding RNA from Mycena vulgaris, 91 nucleotides. The record is from the annotation of a GenBank genome assembly. Lineage: Eukaryota; Fungi; Basidiomycota; Agaricomycetes; Agaricales; Mycenaceae.
UCAGACAAGGUGUAGCGGGAACAUGGCUUCUUCUUAUUAGCCAAAAUUCUGUCAUCGGAGGGAAUUCAGGGUUCGAAUCCCUGUGUCUGAA